This 497-nucleotide ribosomal RNA is filed under the name uncultured bacterium. RNAcentral describes it as "partial 16S ribosomal RNA". It matches the Rfam family "Bacterial small subunit ribosomal RNA", at positions 28 to 507 of the family's 1533-position model. The record is from RNAcentral.
GAUGAACGCUGGCGGCGUGCCUAAUACAUGCAAGUCGAGCGAACAGACGAGGAGCUUGCUCCUCUGACGUUAGCGGCGGACGGGUGAGUAACACGUGGAUAACCUACCUAUAAGACUGGGAUAACUUCGGGAAACCGGAGCUAAUACCGGAUAAUAUAUUGAACCGCAUGGUUCAAUAGUGAAAGACGGUUUUGCUGUCACUUAUAGAUGGAUCCGCGCCGCAUUAGCUAGUUGGUAAGGUAACGGCUUACCAAGGCAACGAUGCGUAGCCGACCUGAGAGGGUGAUCCGCCACACUGGGACUGAGACACGGCCCAGACUCCUACGGGGGGCGGCAGUGGGGAAUUUUGGACAAUGGGCGAAAGCCUGAUCCAGCCAUGCCGCGUGCAGGAUGAAGGCCUUCGGGUUGUAAACUGCUUUUUUACGGAAAGAAAAGACUUUUUCUAAAAAAGAGGGGUCAUGACGGUACCGUAAGAAUAAGCACCGGCUAAAUACGUG